CAAAUUAGAGCUUUAUAGUUAAGUUUCUUAUUUACAUUAAGAAGGUGGUUGUGCAAUUCAAUUUAAUUUGA
Molecule: transfer RNA, 71 nt
Filed under: Tenomerga trabecula
Lineage: Eukaryota; Metazoa; Arthropoda; Insecta; Coleoptera; Cupedidae
Description: tRNA-Val
Source: RNAcentral